GACGAACGCUGGCGGCGUGCCUAACACAUGCAAGUCGAACGCGAAAGGGGCUUCGGUCCUGAGUAGAGUGGCGAACGGGUGAGUAACACGUGGGUGAUCUACCUUCGAGUGGGGGAUAACGUUCCGAAAGGAACGCUAAUACCGCAUGACGUUCUGGGUUUAAAGACCUGGAAACCAAAGCUGGGGACCGCAAGGCCUGGCGCUUGGAGAGGAGCCCGCGUCCGAUUAGCUAGUUGGCGGGGUAAUGGCCCCACCAAGGCGACGAUCGGUAGCCGGCCUGAGAGGGCGGACGGCCACACUGGAACUGAGACACGGUCCAGACUCCUACGGGAGGCAGCAGGUGGGGAAUUGUUCACAAUGGGCGCAAGCCUGAUGACGCAACGCCGCGUGGGGAUGAAGGUCUUCGGAUCGUAAACCCCUGUCGAAUGGGACGAAAGACCCGGGACGCUAAUCAUCCUGGGAGUGACGGUACCG
This 474-nucleotide ribosomal RNA is filed under the name uncultured bacterium. RNAcentral describes it as "bacterial SSU rRNA". It matches the Rfam family "Bacterial small subunit ribosomal RNA", at positions 28 to 480 of the family's 1533-position model. The record is from RNAcentral.